RNAcentral lists this ribosomal RNA (484 nucleotides) under uncultured bacterium. RNAcentral's name for it is "partial 16S ribosomal RNA". It matches the Rfam family "Bacterial small subunit ribosomal RNA", at positions 30 to 507 of the family's 1533-position model. The record is from RNAcentral.
AUUGAACGCUGGCGGCAGGCCUAACACAUGCAAGUCGAGCGGAUGAAGGGUGCUUUCUCCUGGAUUCAUCGGCGGACGGGUGUGUAAUGCCUAUGAAUCUGCCUGGUAGUGGUUUAUUACGUCCGUAAACGGGCGCUAAUACCGCAUACGUCCUUAUGUAGAAAGUGGGGGAUCUUCGGACCUCUCGCUAUCUUAUUUUCCUAGGUCGGAGUAGCUAGUUGGUGGGGUAAAGGCUUACCAAGGCGAAGAUCCGUAACUGGUCUGAGAGGAUGAUCAGUCACACGGGAAGUGAGACACGGUCCAGACUACUACGGGAGGGAGCAGUGGGGAAUAUUGGACAAUGGGCGAAAGCAUGAUCAAGCAAAGCCGAGUGUGAGAGGAAGGUGUUCGGAUUGUAAAGAACUUUAAGUUGGGAGGAAGGGAAGUAAGUUAAUACCUUGCUGUAUUGACGUUAACAAAAGAAUAAGCACCGGCUAACUACGUG